Molecule: long non-coding RNA, 386 nt
Organism: Bombus pascuorum
Lineage: Eukaryota; Metazoa; Arthropoda; Insecta; Hymenoptera; Apidae
Exons: 3
Source: RefSeq, a predicted model, not a curated record
AGAUUUUAAAUUUCCCAAAAAUGCAUAAACAUCAGCGGUCUAGUCAUUAUACACUGCAAUGAAAUUUCGAUUCACAGGUUAUGACUAUUACACUGCGGAUUUUUGUACAUUUAUAAGAAGUAGUAAUUUGUCACAAUGCACAAAAUACAUGUAAAAUGCAAAAAUUAUAAAAUAUCCAAAUACAGUACUCUAUAAUAUUUAGAAAAACAUUGAUAAAUUCCAACAAUAUUCGUUUUAUUGUAAGUAUUAUAUAAAGUAGUAUAUUUUAAGAGGAUGGGAAGGUAUUACAAAAGUAUAUGUUUGUUGUGGUUUUUUAAAUAUCGUCACGUCUAAUGAAUUAGCAUUUGGCGAAGAUAAAUAAAACCACGUGAUCAAAAUCUAGGGGA